Molecule: transfer RNA, 73 nt
Filed under: Penaeus vannamei (Pacific white shrimp)
Lineage: Eukaryota; Metazoa; Arthropoda; Malacostraca; Decapoda; Penaeidae
Description: Litopenaeus vannamei (Pacific white shrimp) tRNA
Rfam family: tRNA
About the family: Transfer RNA (tRNA) molecules are approximately 80 nucleotides in length.
Source: Rfam by way of RNAcentral
GUCCCUGUAGUGUAGUGGUUAACACGACUGAAUUUGAAUCAGGAGAUCUCGGGUUCGAGUCCCGACGAGGACA